AUUGAACGCUGGCGGAAUGCUUUACACAUGCAAGUCGAACGAUGAACCUUAGCUUGCUAAGGGGAUUAGUGGCGAACGGGUGAGUAAUAUAUCGGAACGUGCCUUGUAAUGGGGGAUAACUAGUCGAAAGAUUAGCUAAUACCGCAUACGCCAUGAGGGGGAAAGUCGGGGAUCUUCGGACCUUACGUUAUAAGAGCGGCCGAUAUCUGAUUAGCUAGUUGGUGGGGUAAUGGCCUACCAAGGCGACGAUCAGUAGCUGGUCUGAGAGGACGACCAGCCACACUGGAACUGAGACACGGUCCAGACUCCUACGGGAGGCAGCAGUGGGGAAUUUUGGACAAUGGGCGCAAGCCUGAUCCAGCCAUUCCGCGUGAGUGAAGAAGGCCUUCGGGUUGUAAAGCUCUUUCGCAAGGGAAGAAAACUUACCAUCGAAUAAAUGGUGAGGCUGACGGUACCUUGAUAAGAAGCACCGGCUAACUACGUG
Molecule: ribosomal RNA, 484 nt
Filed under: uncultured bacterium
Lineage: Bacteria
Description: partial 16S ribosomal RNA
Rfam family: Bacterial small subunit ribosomal RNA
Source: RNAcentral